AAAGAUUAAGCCAUGCAUGUCUAAGUAUAAACGAUUUAAUCGUGAAACCGCGAAUGGCUCAUUAUAACAGCUAAAAUCUACUUGACCUUGACACAAUCCUACUUGGAUAACUGUGGUAAUUCUAGAGCUAACACAUGCAUUAAAGCUCUGACCUCACGGGACGAGUGCAUUUAUUAGAACAAAACCAAGCGGCUUCGGCUGUUUUCGGUUGACUCAUAGUAACUGAGCUGAUCGCAUGGUCUUGCACCGGCGACGUGUCUUUCGAGUAUCUGCCGUAUCAACUUUCGAUGGUAGUGUAUCUGACUACCAUGGUGAUCACGCGUAACGGAGAAUAAGGGUUCGACUCCGGAGAGUUCGCCUGAGAAAUCGCGAACACAUCUAAGGAAGGCAGCAGGCGCGAAAAUUACCCACUCUCAGCACGAGGAGGUAGUGACGAAAAAUAACGAGACCGUUCUCUUUCGAGGCCGGUCAUCGGAAUGGGUACAAUUUAAACCCUUUAACGAGUAUCUAUGAGAGGGCAAGUCUGGUGCCAGCAGCCGCGGUAAUUCCAGCUCUCAAAGUGCAUAGAAUUAUUGCUGCGGUUAAAGAGCUCGUAGUUGGAUCUGUGCCUAUUGGACGGGGUCCACCUUCUGGGUGCGUACUCCGCUCCGAGGCUUUUUGCUGGUUUUCCCGUCGUAGCCUUGAUUGGUUGCGGCGGGUGGCUGGCGAGUUUACUUUGAGAAAAUCAGAGUGCUCAACACAGGCGUCUAGCUUGAAUGAUUGUGCAUGGAAUAAUAGAAAAGGAUUUCGGUCCUCUUUUAUUGGUUUUGUGGACUGAGAUAAUGGUUAAGAGGGACAAACGGGGGCAUUCGUAUCGCUGCGUGAGAGGUGAAAUUCUUGGACCGUAGCGAGACGCCCUACUGCGAAAGCAUUUGCCAAGAAUG
Molecule: ribosomal RNA, 923 nt
Filed under: Heterocephalobus elongatus
Lineage: Eukaryota; Metazoa; Nematoda; Chromadorea; Rhabditida; Cephalobidae
Description: SSU rRNA
Rfam family: Eukaryotic small subunit ribosomal RNA
Source: RNAcentral